GUGGGGAAUCUUCCGCAAUGGACGAAAGUCUGACGGAGCAACGCCGCGUGAGUGAUGAAGGUCUUCGGAUUGUAAAGCUCUGUUAAUCGGGACGAAAGAGCCUAGUGUGAAUAAUGCUAGGAAGUGACGGUACCGGAAUAGAAAGCCACGGCUAACUACGUGCCAGCAGCCGCGGUAAUACGUAGGUGGCAAGCGUUGUCCGGAAUUAUUGGGCGUAAAGCGCGCGCAGGCGGAUCUGCCAGUCUGUCUUAAAAGUUCGGGGCUUAACCCCGUGAUGGGAUGGAAACUACAGAUCUAGAGUAUCGGAGAGGAAAGUGGAAUUCCUAGUGUAGCGGUGAAAUGCGUAGAUAUUAGGAAGAACACCGGUGGCGAAGGCGACUUGCUGGCCAGCAACUGACGCUGAGGCGCGAAAGCCAGGGGAGCAAACGGGAUUAGAUACCCGGGUAGUCC
Molecule: ribosomal RNA, 450 nt
Filed under: uncultured bacterium
Lineage: Bacteria
Description: partial 16S ribosomal RNA
Rfam family: Bacterial small subunit ribosomal RNA
Source: RNAcentral